UGAGGAAUAUUGGUCAAUGGGCGGGAGCCUGAACCAGCCAAGUCGCGUGAGGGAAGACGGUCCUACGGAUUGUAAACCUCUUUUGCCGGGGAGCAACGGGGUCCUUGCGAGGGCCCGAUGAGAGUACCCGGAGAAAAAGCAUCGGCUAACUCCGUGCCAGCAGCCGCGGUAAUACGGAGGAUGCGAGCGUUAUCCGGAUUUAUUGGGUUUAAAGGGUGCGUAGGCGGGCUGUUAAGUCAGCGGUCAAAUGUCGGGGCUCAACCCCGGCCUGCCGUUGAAACUGGCGGCCUCGAGUGGGCGAGAAGUAUGCGGAAUGCGUGGUGUAGCGGUGAAAUGCAUAGAUAUCACGCAGAACUCCGAUUGCGAAGGCAGCAUACCGGCGCCCGACUGACGCUGAGGCACGAAAGCGUGGGUAUCGAACAGG
Molecule: ribosomal RNA, 424 nt
Filed under: uncultured bacterium
Lineage: Bacteria
Description: bacterial SSU rRNA
Rfam family: Bacterial small subunit ribosomal RNA
Source: RNAcentral